UGAAAGGUGCAAGGUCUUUGUCUAGAUA
This 28-nucleotide non-coding RNA is filed under the name Homo sapiens (human). The record is from RNAcentral. Lineage: Eukaryota; Metazoa; Chordata; Mammalia; Primates; Hominidae.